Molecule: long non-coding RNA, 353 nt
Filed under: Phoenix dactylifera (date palm)
Lineage: Eukaryota; Viridiplantae; Streptophyta; Magnoliopsida; Arecales; Arecaceae
Description: long non-coding RNA (PDAC_LNC006689)
Source: RNAcentral
GCCUGGUUUCUGCAUAGAAAUGCCUCUAAGAGGACAAAAUUCAUCUUCCUGGGAACAAUAUUCAGUUACACCAAACGAAGUCACAAUUACAAUGCCUGAAGGCCGAUAAGGCACUCAUCAAAAUAAGCAUUUCUUUCUCUAUGGGCAAUUUACAGACUUUAGUUAUUUACAGAUAAGCUUAUUUUAUUGUAGAGGUGGACUAUGAUAGCACUAUUUGAAUCUUAAAUUGCAGGAUUUGCUUUCAUCUGCAGAAAAGGAGUGUAAAAGCCUAAUUUCUCCCUUGCUCUAUAGUUUCUUGUGAAUGCGAUGAGCGAACAUUUGAAGCUUGUAAUAGAGGGAGAAGUGUACUAGAU